Pecten maximus is the source of this 196-nucleotide long non-coding RNA. RefSeq lists it as uncharacterized. NCBI's taxonomy places the organism in Eukaryota, Metazoa, Mollusca, Bivalvia, Pectinida, Pectinidae. The record is from RefSeq and is a predicted model, not a curated record. The transcript has 2 exons.
GAGGGCAAGGGGCUUUAUGUCCGGGUACCUGCGGGUAGACAUUUAGCAUGGGUCCUUGCCUUUGCAUGCACUUGUAAUACUAAGUUUUGGCUGCGGCCAUUGUCAUACUAAAUUCAUAAAUUGAUAAGCCUGCUCGCCAUAUUCUGAGGUUGUAUACGUUUCAUAUUAAAUGAGGCUGCGGUCAUUUAAAUCCAAA